GGAGAUUUAGCUCAGUCGUAGAGCGCUUGCCUAGGAAGCGCAAGGCCCUGGGUUCGGUCCCCAGCUCCA
Molecule: transfer RNA, 69 nt
Filed under: Rattus norvegicus (Norway rat)
Lineage: Eukaryota; Metazoa; Chordata; Mammalia; Rodentia; Muridae
Rfam family: tRNA
About the family: Transfer RNA (tRNA) molecules are approximately 80 nucleotides in length. Their secondary structure includes four short double-helical elements and three loops (D, anti-codon, and T loops).
Source: Rfam by way of RNAcentral